GACGAACGCUGGCGGCGUGCUUAACACAUGCAAGUCGAACGGAAAGGCCCUGCUUGCCGGGUACUCGAGUGGCGAACGGGUGAGUAACACGUGGGUGAUCUGCCCUGCACUUCGGGAUAAGCUUGGGAAACUGGGUCUAAUACCGGAUAGGAACCAUCUUUAGUGUGGUGGUUGGAAAGUUUUUUCGGUGUAGGAUGAGCUCGCGGCCUAUCAGCUUGUUGGUGGGGUAAUGGCCUACCAAGGCGGCGACGGGUAGCCGGCCUGAGAGGGUGUACGGCCACAUUGGGACUGAGAUACGGCCCAGACUCCUACGGGAGGCAGCAGUGGGGAAUAUUGCACAAUGGGCGCAAGCCUGAGGCAGCGACGCCGCGUGGGGGAUGAAGGCCUUCGGGUUGUAAACUCCUUUCGCUAGGGACGAAGCUUUGUUGUGACGGUACCUAGAUAAGAAGCACCGGCUAACUACGUG
RNAcentral lists this ribosomal RNA (466 nucleotides) under uncultured bacterium. Its description in RNAcentral is "partial 16S ribosomal RNA". It matches the Rfam family "Bacterial small subunit ribosomal RNA", at positions 28 to 507 of the family's 1533-position model. The record is from RNAcentral.